UGCUUGCUUUGGCAGCACAUUACUAAAAUUGGAACGAUACAGAGAAGAUUAGCAUGGCCCUAUGCAAGGAUGACACGCAAAUUUGUGAAGCAGUCCAUAUUUUU
Small nuclear RNA from Nycticebus coucang (slow loris), 104 nucleotides. The record is from RefSeq and is a predicted model, not a curated record. NCBI's taxonomy places the organism in Eukaryota, Metazoa, Chordata, Mammalia, Primates, Lorisidae.